This 898-nucleotide ribosomal RNA is filed under the name uncultured delta proteobacterium. RNAcentral's name for it is "bacterial SSU rRNA". It matches the Rfam family "Bacterial small subunit ribosomal RNA", at positions 61 to 967 of the family's 1533-position model. The record is from RNAcentral. Lineage: Bacteria; Deltaproteobacteria.
GUCGAGCGAGAAGUGACUUCGGUCGCGAGUAAAGCGGCGAACGGGUGAGUACUAUGCGGAUAAUCUACCCUAGGGUCUGGGACAACCCCGAGAAAUCGGGGCUAAUACCGGAUAAGACCACAGUAUCCAAGGAUACAGCGGUAAAAGAUUUAUCGCCUUUGGAUGAGUCCACGCCCCAUCAGGUAGUUGGUAAGGUAAAGGCUUACCAAGCCUAAGACGGGUAGCCGGCCUUAGCGGGUGAACGGCCACAUGGGGACUGAGACACGGCCCUGACUCCUACGGGAGGCAGCAGUGGGGAAUAUUGGGCAAUGGGCGAAAGCCUGACCCAGCGAUGCCGCGUGAGGGAUGAAGGCCUUCGGGUUGUAAACCUCUGUCAGGAGGGACGAUGGGACACUUGUGUCUUGACGGUACCUCCAGAGGAAGCCCCGGCUAACUCCGUGCCAGCAGCCGCGGUAAUACGGAGGGGGCAAGCGUUGCUCGGAAUUACUGGGCGUAAAGGGUCCGCAGGCUGUCAGGCAAGUUGGUUGUGAAAUCCCAAGGCUUAACCUCGGAAUUGCAUCCAAAACCGCCUGACUAGAGUCCAAGAGAGGUUGGCGGAACUCCCGGUGUAGCGGUGAAAUGCAUAGAUAUCGGGAGGAACACCAGAGGCGAAGGCGGCCAACUGGCUUGGUACUGACGCUCAGGGACGAAAGCGUGGGUAGCAAACCGGAUUAGAUACCCGGGUAGUCCACGCCCUAAACGAUGGAUGCUAGGUAGGGGGAAUUUAAUUCUCCCUGCCGUAGUUAACGCAUUAAGCAUCCCGCCUGGGGAGUACGGUCGCAAGGCUGAAACUCAAAGGAAUUGGCGGGGGCCCGCACAAGCGGUGGAGCACGCGGUUUAAUUCGAUGCUAAGCGAAAA